GAAUCCUUAGCUCAGUUGGUUAGAGCGUUACCUUGACAUGGUAAAGGUCACUGGUUCGAGUCCAGUAGGGUUCA
This 74-nucleotide transfer RNA is filed under the name Bacteroidota bacterium. RNAcentral's name for it is "Bacteroidetes bacterium (activated sludge metagenome) tRNA-Val". It matches the Rfam family "tRNA". From Rfam's summary of the family: Transfer RNA (tRNA) molecules are approximately 80 nucleotides in length. Their secondary structure includes four short double-helical elements and three loops (D, anti-codon, and T loops). Lineage: Bacteria; Pseudomonadati; Bacteroidota. RNAcentral also lists the same sequence under 1 other name. The record is from RNAcentral.